This 67-nucleotide transfer RNA is filed under the name Betaproteobacteria bacterium. RNAcentral describes it as "tRNA-Ser". Lineage: Bacteria; Pseudomonadati; Pseudomonadota; Betaproteobacteria. The record is from RNAcentral.
UUCCGGGUAGUUGUCGGACGGACUGUUAAUCCGCAGGUCCCAGGUUCGAGCCCUGGUCGGGGAGCCA